AUGGGCGUAGAGGUAGCGGCUAUGGCCAUUCUCAACAGCAGCAAAGUAGUGGGAGGUAGUAGUGCAAGCAAGCAAGGGCAGCGGCAGCAGGAACUAAGAGCAGCAACAGCGAUAGAAGCCAAAGCAGUGGCAGCAGCUAGAACACGCAGCAGUGGCGGCAGGAGGAACGGAAAGAAGCAUCAGAGGAAGAGCGGCAUGCGGGAUGAGCAGCAGGGCGCUGAGCGACAAGCGGUGGGGUGGCACGUAUGCGCUGAGGACAGGGCCGCAGCGUCGGGCACGGCCAGCAGUGGGCGGCGCCGACGGUCGCGGUGUCAGGUGCAGGGGCACGGCGAGGAUAAGCGCGGGACAGUUGCGGGCUUGGCCAGGUGCAGGGGCGAACGAGGCCCGGACGCGGCCUAG
This 399-nucleotide ribosomal RNA is filed under the name Triticum aestivum (bread wheat). Its description in RNAcentral is "partial small subunit ribosomal RNA". Lineage: Eukaryota; Viridiplantae; Streptophyta; Magnoliopsida; Poales; Poaceae. The record is from RNAcentral.